GAAUUUUAUAUAAAUUUUAAUUAGUUAUUUUGAUUAUAAAGAUUUAAUUGAUUAGGGUUUAUAUUUGAUUGGGAGGAUAGUUAAAUUAAAUGAACUUUAAUUGAAGAAAACAUUGAUUUAUGAAAUUAUAAGAGAUUAAUAUUUUUUUGAAAAAAAAAUAUUAUAAAAGAAUUAAUUACCUUAGGGAUAACAGCGUAAUAUUUUUAAAAAGAUCUUAUUAAUAAAAAUGAUUGC
RNAcentral lists this ribosomal RNA (234 nucleotides) under Camponotus novogranadensis. Its description in RNAcentral is "partial large subunit ribosomal RNA". The record is from RNAcentral. RNAcentral also lists the same sequence under 1 other name. Lineage: Eukaryota; Metazoa; Arthropoda; Insecta; Hymenoptera; Formicidae.